This 1326-nucleotide ribosomal RNA is filed under the name metagenome. Its description in RNAcentral is "bacterial LSU rRNA". It matches the Rfam family "Bacterial large subunit ribosomal RNA", at positions 1580 to 2925 of the family's 2925-position model. The record is from RNAcentral.
AGAGUAGUGAAGUAUGUGAGCCAUGUGCCGAGAAAAGCCGCUAUUGUUUUAUAUGUGCCCGUACCGUAAACCGACACAGGUGGAUGAGGAGAAAAUCCUAAGGCCGACGGAAGAAGCAUUGUUAAGGAAUUCGGCAAAAUGACCCCGUAACUUCGGGAGAAGGGGUGCCCACUGAAUGGUGGGCCGCAGAGAAUAGGCUCAAGCAACUGUUUAGCAAAAACACAGGUCUAUGCGAAACCGAAAGGUGAAGUAUAUGGGCUGACGCCUGCCCGGUGCUGGUAGGUUAAGAGGAGAGGUUAGCGUAAGCGAAGCUUUGAAUUUAAGCCCCAGUAAACGGCGGCCGUAACAAUAACGGUCCUAAGGUAGCGAAAUUCCUUGUCGGGUAAGUUCCGACCCGCACGAAAGGCGUAAUGAUUUGAGCACUGUCUCGACAAUGCAUCCGGUGAAAUUGAAGUACCAGUGAAGAUGCUGGUUACCCGCGCCAGGACGGAAAGACCCCAUGGAGCUUUACUCCAGUUUGAUACUGGGAUUCGGUACUGCACGUACAGGAUAGGUGGGAGACUGAGAACUAUGGACGCCAGUCUGUAGGGAGUCGCUGUUGGGAUACCACCCCUGUAGUACUGGGUUUCUAACCAUCUGCCGUGAUCCGGCAGUGGGACAAUGUCAGGCGGGGAGUUUGACUGGGGCGGUCGCCUCCGAAAGGGUAUCGGAGGCGCUCAAAGGUUCCCUCAGAAUGGUCGGAAACCAUUUGAAGAGUGCAAAGGCAGAAGGGAGCUUGACUGCGACACCGACGGGUGGAGCAGGUACGAAAGUAGGACUUAGUGAUCCGGUGGUAUAAAGUUGGAUUGCCAUCGCUCAACGGAUAAAAGCUACCCUGGGAUAACAGGCUUAUCACUCCCAAGAGUUCACAUCGACGGAGUGGUUUGGCACCUCGAUGUCGGCUCAUCGCAUCCUGGGGCUGUAGCAGGUCCCAAGGGUUGGGCUGUUCGCCCAUUAAAGCGGUACGCGAGCUGGGUUCAGAACGUCGUGAGACAGUUCGGUCCCUAUCCGGCGCGGGCGGAGGAUAUUUGAGAGGAGCUGUCCUUAGUACGAGAGGACCGGGAUGGACGGACCACUGGUGUAUCUGUUGUCGACCAACGGCAUGGCAGAGUAGCCAAGUCCGGAAGGGAUAAACGCUGAAGGCAUCUAAGCGUGAAGCCCCCCUCAAGAUGAGAUAUCCCUCCUUCGGGAGUAAGACCCCUUGAAGACUACAAGGUAGAUAGGGCAGAGGUGGAAGUGUGGCAACACAUGGAGCUGACUGUUACUAAUAGGUCGAGGGCUUGAUUA